This 468-nucleotide ribosomal RNA is filed under the name uncultured bacterium. RNAcentral's name for it is "partial 16S ribosomal RNA". It matches the Rfam family "Bacterial small subunit ribosomal RNA", at positions 28 to 507 of the family's 1533-position model. The record is from RNAcentral.
GACGAACGCUGGCGGCGUGCUUAACACAUGCAAGUCGAACGGAAAGGCCCUGCUUUUGUGGGGCGCUCGAGUGGCGAACGGGUGAGUAACACGUGAGUAACCUGCCCUUGACUUUGGGAUAACUUUAGGAAACUGGGGCUAAUACCGGAUAGGAGCUCCUGCUGCAUGGUGGGGGUUGGAAAGUUUCGGCGGUUGGGGAUGGACUCGCGGCUUAUCCGCUUGUUGGUGAGGUAGUGGCUUACCAAGGCUUUGACGGGUAGCCGGCCUGAGAGGGUUACCGGCCACAUUGGGACUGAGAGACGGCCCAGACUCCUACGGGAGGCAACAGUGGGGAAUAUUGCGCAGUGGGGGGAAGCCUGAUACAGCGGCGCCGCGUGCGGAAUGACGGCCUUCGGGUUGUGAACCGCUUUCGCAUGUGACGAAGCGUGAGUGACGGUAAUGGGUAAAGAAGCACCGGCUAACUACGUG